GAUGAACGCUAGCUACGGGCUUAACACAUGCAGGUCGAGGGGCAGCAUGGUCUUAGCUUGCUAAGGCCGAUGGCGACCGGCGCACGGGUGAGUAACACGUAUCCAACCUGCCGUCUACUCUUGGACAGCCUUCUGAAAGGAAGAUUAAUACAAGAUGGCAUCAUGAGUCCACAUGUUCACAUGAUUAAAGGUAUUCCGGUAGACGAUGGGGAUGCGUUCCAUUAGAUAGUAGGCGGGGUAACGGCCCACCUAGUCUUCGAUGGAUAGGGGUUCUGAGAGGAAGGUCCACCACAUUGGAACUGAGACACGGUCCAAACUCCUACGGGAGGCAGCAGUGAGGAAUAUUGGUCAAUGGGCGAGAGCCUGAACCAGCCAAGUAGCGUGAAGGAUGACUGCCCUAUGGGUUGUAAACUUCUUUUAUAAAGGAAUAAAGUCGGGUAUGCAUACCCGUUUGCAUGUACUUUAUGAAUAAGGAUCGGCUAACUCCGUGCCAGCAGCCGCGGUAA
Molecule: ribosomal RNA, 506 nt
Filed under: uncultured bacterium
Lineage: Bacteria
Description: partial 16S ribosomal RNA
Rfam family: Bacterial small subunit ribosomal RNA
Source: RNAcentral